AUACGGAAGGUCCGGGCGUUAUCCGGAUUCAUUGGGUUUAAAGGGUGCGCAGGCGGCCGUGCAAGUCAGCGGUGAAAGCCCGGGGCUCAACCCCGGAAGUGCCGUUGAUACUGCAUGGCUGGAAUGCGGUCGGGGCGGGCGGGACGUGGCGUGUAGCGGUGGAAUGCGUAGAUAUGCCACAGAACGCCGAUAGCGGAGGCAGCUCGCCAGGCCUGCAUUGACGCUCGGGCACGAAAGCGUGGGGAUCGAACAGGAUUAGAUACCCUGGUAGUCCACGCCGUAAACGAUGGGCGCUCGUCGUCGGCGGCAGACAGUCGGCGGCCAAGCGAAAGCGAUAAGCGCCCCACCUGGGGAGUACGGUCGCAAAGCUGAAACUCAAAUGAAUUGACGGGG
RNAcentral lists this ribosomal RNA (393 nucleotides) under uncultured bacterium. RNAcentral's name for it is "partial 16S ribosomal RNA". It matches the Rfam family "Bacterial small subunit ribosomal RNA", at positions 523 to 918 of the family's 1533-position model. The record is from RNAcentral.